UGAACGCUGGCGGCGUGCCUAAUACAUGCAAGUCGAGCGAACGGACGAGAAGCUUGCUUCUCUGAUGUUAGCGGCGGACGGGUGAGUAACACGUGGAUAACCUACCUAUAAGACUGGGAUAACUUCGGGAAACCGUAGCUAAUACCGGAUAAUAUUUUGAACCGCAUGGUUCAAAAGUGAGAGACGGUCUUGCUGUCACUUAUAGAUGGAUCCGCGCUGCAUUAGCUAGUUGGUAAGGUAACGGCUUACCAAGGCAACGAUGCAUAGCCGACCUGAGAGGGUGAUCGGCCACACUGGAACUGAGACACGGUCCAGACUCCUACGGGAGGCAGCAGUAGGGAAUCUUCCGCAAUGGGCGAAAGCCUGACGGAGCAACGCCGCGUGAGUGAUGAAGGUCUUCGGAUCGUAAAACUCUGUUAUUAGGGAAGAACAUAUGUGUAAGUAACUGUGCACAUCUUGACGGUACCUAAUCAGAAAGCCACGGCUAACUACGUG
This 495-nucleotide ribosomal RNA is filed under the name uncultured bacterium. RNAcentral's name for it is "partial 16S ribosomal RNA". It matches the Rfam family "Bacterial small subunit ribosomal RNA", at positions 30 to 507 of the family's 1533-position model. The record is from RNAcentral.